GACGAACGCUGGCGGCGUGCUUAACACAUGCAAGUCGAACGGAAAGGCCCUGCUUUUGCGGGGUGCUCGAGUGGCGAACGGGUGAGUAACACGUGAGUAACCUGCCCUUGACUUUGGGAUAACUUCAGGAAACUGGGGCUAAUACCGGAUAGGAGCUCCUGCUGCAUGGUGGGGGUUGGAAAGUUUCGGCGGUUGGGGAUGGACUCGCGGCUUAUCAGCUUGUUGGUGGGGUAGUGGCUUACCAAGGCUUUGACGGGUAGCCGGCCUGAGAGGGUGACCGGCCACAUUGGGACUGAGAUACGGCCCGGACUCCUACGGGAGGCAGCAGUGGGGAAUAUUGCACAAUGGGCGGAAGCCUGAUGCAGCAACGCCGCGUGCGGGAUGACGGCCUUCGGGUUGUAAACCGCUUUCGCCUGUGACGAAGCGUGAGUGACGGUAAUGGGUAAAGAAGCACCGGCUAACUACGUG
Molecule: ribosomal RNA, 468 nt
Filed under: uncultured bacterium
Lineage: Bacteria
Description: partial 16S ribosomal RNA
Rfam family: Bacterial small subunit ribosomal RNA
Source: RNAcentral